UGGGGAAUAUUGGACAAUGGGCGAAAGCCUGAUCCAGCCAUGCCGCGUGUGUGAAGAAGGCCUUUUGGUUGUAAAGCACUUUGAGCGAGGAGGAGGCUACUUGGAUUAAUACUCUAGGAUAGUGGACGUUACUCGCAGAAUAAGCACCGGCUAACUCUGUGCCAGCAGCCGCGGUAAUACAGAGGGUGCGAGCGUUAAUCGGAUUUACUGGGCGUAAAGCGUGCGUAGGCGGCUUCUUAAGUCGGAUGUGAAAUCCCUGAGCUUAACUUAGGAAUUGCAUUCGAUACUGGGAAGCUAGAGUAUGGGAGAGGAUGGUAGAAUUCCAGGUGUAGCGGAGAAAUGCGUAGAGAUCUGGAGGAAUACCGAUGGCGAAGGCAGCCAUCUGGCCUAAUACUGACGCUGAGGUACGAAAGCAUGGGGAGCAAACAGG
RNAcentral lists this ribosomal RNA (430 nucleotides) under bacterium. Its description in RNAcentral is "partial 16S ribosomal RNA". It matches the Rfam family "Bacterial small subunit ribosomal RNA", at positions 355 to 776 of the family's 1533-position model. The record is from RNAcentral.